RNAcentral lists this ribosomal RNA (395 nucleotides) under uncultured bacterium. RNAcentral describes it as "bacterial SSU rRNA". It matches the Rfam family "Bacterial small subunit ribosomal RNA", at positions 355 to 748 of the family's 1533-position model. The record is from RNAcentral.
UAAGGAAUAUUGGUCAAUGGACGCAAGUCUGAACCAGCCAUGCCGCGUGAAGGAUGAAGGUCCUCUGGAUUGUAAACUUCUUUUAUCUGGGACGAAAACGGGAUUUUUAUCUCAAUUGACGGUACCAGAGGAAUAAGCACCGGCUAACUCCGUGCCAGCAGCCGCGGUAAUACGGAGGGUGCGAGCGUUAUCCGGAUUUACUGGGUUUAAAGGGUGCGUAGGUGGGCUUAUAAGUCAGUGGUGAAAUCUCCGAGCUUAACUUGGACACUGCCGUUGAUUCUAUAGGUCUUGAAUUAUCUGGACGUAAGCGGAAUAUGUCAUGUAGCGGUGAAAUGCUUAGACACGACAUAGAACACCAACUGCGAAGGCAGCUAACUACAUAGAGAUUGACGCUG